Molecule: ribosomal RNA, 1691 nt
Filed under: Paraconotrochus antarcticus
Lineage: Eukaryota; Metazoa; Cnidaria; Anthozoa; Scleractinia; Caryophylliidae
Description: large subunit ribosomal RNA
Rfam family: Bacterial large subunit ribosomal RNA
Source: RNAcentral
AAAGCGGAGUGAGCCUUGUAAGUAACUAAUGGAAGAAAAGUGUUUCAUACAUUUUAGGUCAAAGAGCAUCUUACACUGAAAAAAAGAGUACUGUGAAGGAAAGUUGAAAGAGAAGUGAAAAACCUGCAAAUUUAUUUCCUAAGCAGCUAUUGAAUAGCGUACCUUUUGUAUAAUGGGUUCAUGAGUUAGAGUUUGGCGAAUAUAAGCUAAAAGCGUAAAUAUAAAGAAAUUAUUUGAGUCAAAUCUCCCGAAACCAAGUGAUUUAACCAUAGGCUGUUUUUAGAACGAACCGGUGAUUGUGGCAAAAAUCUCGGAGGACUUAUGGUUGGGGGUGAAAGACCAAUCGAACUUGGAGCUAGCUGGUUUUCUGCGAAAACUAUUGAAGUAGUGCGUUUAUCUUUGAAGGGCGUAGGUGUCACGAAGACAGGAGAUGGAUAGACAAACGACUUGCGAAAGGUGGGUGGUUAAAAGGGCGUAGCCCAGAUCAGAUGUUAAAGUUAUUUUUUUUUCUUUAGUGUAAAAAGAAGGCCAAAUAAAAACAAUAAAAAAGUAGGCUUGGAGACAGCCAUCUUUUAAAAAUUACGUAGUUGUUUAUUUAGAAAUUUUGUACUUUUUAAAAUCCUGGUGGCUAAAAAGAAACUUAAACUUUGAGGGCAAAAUGCUUGGUAGCGGAACGAACUGUAUAAAAUUUUUUGAAAAAUGUUUCAGAAGAGAUAAUAUGGACAUGAGUAAAAUUUAUUUGUCUCCUUUGGUUUCCUUUUUUAUAGGAGGGUUAAGCAGUCCCUAAGAUUUUCAAUGGGUAUGUGUAAGAGACAGGUAAGGCAUCAGGAAAGAAUUAUAUUUGUAAACUGUUCUUAUAGAAUGGGGGAGAUGAAGUGGCAAAAGGUUUUUUAAAAAACUCGGCAAAGUUUUGAACCUCGGCUGUUUAUCAAAAACAUAGCUCUCCGCAAAAAGGAUGUUGUAUGGAAAGUGGCACCUGCCCAAUGGUUGUCUCCAAAAGGGUUUGUAGGGCGCGCUAAUAAGGACAAUUGAAUGGCCGCGGUAACCUUGACUGUGAAAAUGUAGCAUAAUCAAUAGUCAAUUAAUUGUUGACCGGUAUGAAUGGUAUCACGAGGGUUUCACUGUUUUAAAAAAUCUCCAAUGAAAUUGAGAUUGGGGUGAAGACGCCCCAUCCAAAUUGUAAGACGAGAAGUCCCCAUGGAACUUUACUGGAGGCUUAUAGUACGGAUAUUAAAAUAAAGGCUGAAGGGUCUUUUUUGUUUUUAUAGAAGGGUUCAAGGUAAGAGGGACAGUUUCAUUGGGGCGAUGGCUUUUUAAAAAGUAACAAAAGUGAGCUAGAAAUAUAAGUUUGAUUGUGAGGGUGAGGGCCCGAGCAGACACUCUAGGUGGGCGGAAGUGACCCGUUAUUUUUGAAUGAAAAAGUUAACGAUAAACAAAUAAAAGUUACCCUGGGGAUAACAGCGCGAUAACGUUUACGAUUUGUCAAUGACGAUGUUUGCGACCUCGAUGUUGAAUUGUGGCAUCCUGGGGAGCAGAAGCCCCCAAAGGUUGGUCUGUUCGUCCAUAAAAGCCACACAUGAUUUGAGUUAAAAGCGUGGUGACACAGCUUGGUUUCUAUCUACAAUUUGAAAAACAUAAAAAAUGCAUUUUUUAGUACGAAAGGAAUGAGAAUUGACGACCUUUUGAUAAUG